UUAACUGAUGAAUAGGCUUCCACGUCUUUUUUUAUCCGACGAUGAUUCUCAAGAAUAUGUGUCUGGAUUAUACAUGCAUCACCAUCUGACU
Molecule: small nucleolar RNA, 91 nt
Filed under: Henningerozyma blattae CBS 6284
Lineage: Eukaryota; Fungi; Ascomycota; Saccharomycetes; Saccharomycetales; Saccharomycetaceae
Source: RNAcentral